AUAACUCGAGCACAACGCAUAAAAUUUGAGCAAUGAAAAGAUGGCCAGAACGAGGACAGAGAGCUCAGAACUGUUCACAAAAUAACAAAGGAGGUGCCAGGAGAGAGGCGAAUCCUCUCAGGUGAGACGAGCCACAAAUGAUUCUGUUAACCGUGAAUGUCAAUGUCAACCUCCCGAAAGGAAAAGAAACCACUCGGACUCCAUCUCCUUCUGGAGAAAUCCCAGAAAAAUUCUACAUCUCAAGGGCUGCUUCCCGAAAAAUCUCCUCAGACCUGAUCUCCUUCCAGAAACUUCCUCAGCAGCUCAACAGCUAAAUUCUGAAUAUGGAAUUUAUCACAAACAAAUCACAGAGGAAAAAAAGCUGAGACUGCACGGCCUCAGGCCGAAACGAGUGUAUAAAAUUCGGCAUUUCAAUAAAAACUUUGGAAACUUGAGGGAAUCGAGGUUUGGAGACUGAGGCAGAGACCGGGUCAGGAUUCACCCAGCGCCGAUCCCGGGCUCGGCGUUGCCUUUAAUUGUAGCUGUCCCCAAAUUUAUUUUCGCAGGUUUAGCAAUAAAAAUUGUUAUUCAUGAAAUUGGAUUGAUUUAUUUAUAGCGCAGGGAAGGAAAAAAGGAAAAGCGGAACCAAUCCCCGCCGCACUGCGCAUACGCAGCUCCGGCUACCGUACAUGGCAGCCACGCGCAUGCGCAGUUACGCGCUCCGUACGGCAGCAUGGCGGCCCGCACAGGCGCGGCGCCUUUUGCCGUACAACAUGGUCGUCCUGCGCAUGCGCAGUUCUAUUCGCCGUACAUCAUGGCGGCCCUCACAUACGAAGUUUUAAUUGCCGUACAUCAUGGCGGCCAUGCGCAUGCGCAGUUCCCGCCAACCGCUGCGCUCCCUCUGCUCCGUGCAUGCGUAUUGUUCCGUGACGUCAUCACGCAGCGCCCCGCGCGUGCGCAGUGCCGGGCCAGGCCUGAGGAGGCGGCGAAGCCCCGGGACGGGCCCGGGACCAGCGGGGAAAACGGGAAAAAAACGGGAAAAAAGCGGGGAAAAAAGCGGGAAAAACGGGAUAAUCGGGAUAAUCUGAAUAAUCGGGAUAAUCGGGAUCAGCACAGCGCACUCCCCACCGCAGUUAUGGUGUUUUACUUCACCUCCAACGCCGCUCCCGCUGCCUACACCAUCUACAUGGGCAAGGACAAGUACGAGAGCUGCAAGCUGAGCUCGGUGUCGGUUGUUUACA
This 1220-nucleotide long non-coding RNA is filed under the name Parus major (Great Tit). RNAcentral describes it as "lncRNA (ENSPMJG00000005807.1)". The record is from RNAcentral. Lineage: Eukaryota; Metazoa; Chordata; Aves; Passeriformes; Paridae.